UUAGCUACAAAAUUUAUUUGUUCACAUAUGAGGUAUUUAUAUAAUAACUAAAUAGUAAAUAAACUCCUAACCCAAUUUAUUUUCGAACCCAUCUCUGUCUCUUUUCUCUCUUUAUUUCAUCUAUAUAUUUCCACGUGGCCUCCUCUUCUCCUGCUCUCUCACUAGCUACUCUCCAGAAUUGCUCUGUUCCUUAUCUUAAUCGAUUGGUGCUCUAGAUUGCAUUGACUUCACACGUUGUUACUGCAAAAUUGCUCUUCAGCUCGCAUAAAUCGAACUCCAAUUUGAGGAUAUUUAACUGCAAAACAAAAGCAUCAAUAUGGAGAUUGUAACUCCCAAUAGCAAACCCAAGGUAAAAGUGUUUGAUUUUGAGGCAUGCUAAAUACACUGUCUAUUUAGCUAAUAAGUUCGCUAAACUGAGAUAUUCUUUCACUGUCGUUUUAUUCGGUGGUUUCUUGUGAAGUCUCUCAGUCAAAAAAUAAAUAGCUAUUUUUUUUGUGGUAAUUGUGGAUUUUAGGUGGUUGUAGUGACAGGAUCGAGAUUUUGGUGCUGAAAUGGAUCUUGAAUCCGUACUGGGUGAUUUGUAUGGGCGAUAGAAUUUUUGGAUGGUGGUGGUGGUGGUUUGACCGUGGAGGAGGAGGUGGUGAUUUUGGAUGAUGGUUGUGACAAUUUGAGCUGGUGACCUGGGGGAAGGCAUAAUUGAUGCCGGUUGGCGCUCGACAGGUGUUAGCGAUCACGGUGGUGGUUCAGAUGCAAGUGCAGGUGAUUCUAGUGGUGGUGGUGCCUGUCGUGGUUGUGGUGCCGUCUUUAAGUUGUGUUGGUUUUGUAUAAACGUGAUUUGCGAUCAAUGAAUUGAGUUAAUUUGUGAGCAAAAAAUAAUAUGUAAUUUGUAAAAUAGAUAAUUUUUAUAUUGAUGCAAUGACUUGUGAUAUGUGAAUUGAUAACAUGUCACAUAUCUGUCUGCACUUAUUACAGGUUAUAUAUCACGGAUCACUAAUUUAUAUUCACAUGUCAAUAUUAAUUAGUCAUUGGUCAUAGUUCAUAGAUUACAGGUCAUCAUUCAUAGGUCACAUGUCAUAUUGUAUAGAUCACGGAUAUUCACAAGUCAUGAGUUAGGCUAAUAUUAAUUGGUCACUGAUCAUAUUGUAUAGUUCAUAAGUCACGGGUUAUUGUUUUUAGGUCAAUAUUAAUUGGUUACAUGUUAUAAUUCACAAGUCACAAGUCAUAAGUCAUAUUGUAUAAGUCACAGGUUAUAGUUCACAUGUCAAUAUUAAUUGAUUAAAAGUUAUAAUUCAUAAGUUACAUCUUAUAGUUCACAAGUCACACGUUACCAUUCACAAGUCAUAUGUCAUAUUGUAUAGGUCACUAAUGUUCACAAGUUACACAUUACAAUGCACAUGUGAAUAUUAAUUUGUCAAGGUUAUAGUUCACAGAUCACAAGUCACCUUUCAUAGGUAACAAAUCAAUGUCUAUAGAUCACAAAUCUAAGAAAACUCGUUACAAGCUAUUGAAACAGUAUCACAAGUAACAAAUCAAUGGCCACAAGUCAUGGAUCCAAUAGAAUUGGCCAUAAGCCAUUGGAUCAAUAUCGAUGGUAACAAUACACAGGUAAUUUAAAUUGAGGUUCAAUUGGAUAAUCCUUCAAUUCUCUCAAUGUUUUGGUAAAUUAGUAAACCAAACCAGUCGCUACCCUUGAGAUGUUGUACUCAUGGAUCUUGAGCAGGUACGACAGGAUAUGGUAAUCGCCACCUUCAAAUCUAAUUCGAAGCCCUUCUCCAACAAUUCAAUACAACAACUCUGCAAUGUUAGCCGCCACCUUCAAAAAUUAUG
This 1827-nucleotide long non-coding RNA is filed under the name Olea europaea (common olive). Its description in RNAcentral is "long non-coding RNA (OEUR_LNC011884)". Lineage: Eukaryota; Viridiplantae; Streptophyta; Magnoliopsida; Lamiales; Oleaceae. The record is from RNAcentral.